ACAUGUUCAUUAGAUGAUGACAUCUUUGUAUGUUCGUCGUGUAGGAUUUCCACAUCUCUUUUGUCUGUAUGUGUUUGUUGCAUCGAGUUUCAUGAGAGAUGAUAAUAGUCUUGGUAGCCUUCCAUUCAGAAGACAACCUUUUGCAUCUCUAUAUUCAGGAAAAAACAGUAAUUGAAUGAUCAGCGCCAACCACUUCUUGAAGCUAUGCUUCUUACAUAUUACCAUAGAAUAUGCGAAUAUACUCUUGGCCUUGUUGGUGAUUCACAACCAUAUAUACUAUUAUGGGCAGCUAGCAUUUUUCCAUAGAAAGAGCUAGGUGGAUUCUAAAAUUUUCAUAAUUUCUUUUAUCUUAAUAUCCACCACUAGUAAGAAUCAAAAUGAUGGA
Molecule: long non-coding RNA, 385 nt
Filed under: Ricinus communis (castor bean)
Lineage: Eukaryota; Viridiplantae; Streptophyta; Magnoliopsida; Malpighiales; Euphorbiaceae
Description: long non-coding RNA (RCOM_LNC002698)
Source: RNAcentral